RNAcentral lists this ribosomal RNA (424 nucleotides) under uncultured bacterium. RNAcentral's name for it is "bacterial SSU rRNA". It matches the Rfam family "Bacterial small subunit ribosomal RNA", at positions 28 to 442 of the family's 1533-position model. The record is from RNAcentral.
GAUGAACGCUGGCGGCGUGCCUAACACAUGCAAGUCGAACGAAGCGCUUUGAAGUUUUCGGACAGAUGAGUGACUGAGUGGCGGACGGGUGAGUAACGCGUGGGUAACCUGCCUCAUACAGGGGGAUAACAGUUAGAAAUGACUGCUAAUACCGCAUAAGUGCACAGCUUCGCAUGAAGCAGUGUAAAAAACUCCGGUGGUAUGAGAUGGACCCGCGUCUGAUUAGCUAGUUGGUGGGGUAACGGCCUACCAAGGCGACGAUCAGUAGCCGGCCUGACGAGGGUGAACGGCCACAUUGGGACUGAGACACGGCCCAAAACUCCUACGGGAGCAGCAGUGGGGAAUAUUGCACAAAUGGGGGAAACCCUGAUGCAGCGACGCCGCGUGAGUGAAGAGUAUUUCGGAUGUAAAGCUCUAUCAAGCA